AUAAACAUGUCAUUAACGAUUUCCAUUUGAUUUUCAUUAGAAACUUCAUUCACAAUUUGGAAGAUAUUACAAGUUUUAUACAUCAUUCAAACAUCAAUAUUUCUAUUUUAAUUCUAAUACCUGACACUACCCACAACCUGUCUACGGAGCCCCUAAAUAAAACUGAAGAAUAAUAUGAAAAUACCAGCAACAAGGCUCUGGCUAUACCUCAAAUACAAAGUACAUAAUUAACAAAAUGAAAUAGGACCCCAAAAUGAAGUGGGGCUCACCAAGUCAGCUGAAAGGAUGAUGGAGCACUAGCUGCGACCAACACCGCAUGCUAUAGAAACACCUACAUUCAUUUAAAGACGUAGCGUACCCGACAAAAGGGACGUUAGUGCCAUCAAAUAGCACUAGUAUGUACAAAUAAAUACCAUCUCAUUAGAAAGAACAACCAUACAAGGAGAAAGAAAUCAUCAGGAUUCAACAAAAGCUUUGAACAAUUACUAUAUCAUAAAAUAAAAGGAAUCACAUAGCUCUCACAUAAUUUUUACAGCUUUAGUUGGGGGCUUUUACUACUGUUUAUCAUUAUUCACAAUACCACCGCUUUCUUGAACGGAGUCCAAUCAGGGUCUGAUCGGCUAAACCGCUUCCCUGAGAUGUUACCACUACUUAAUUUACACUUUCCAAUUUUAAUUAUCAAUACGUUACCACCAUGUGUGUGUACAUAUAUAUAUAUAUAUAUAUAUAUAUAUGUAUAUAUAUAUCAUGGCAUCCAAUUAUGGCCCGAUCGGCUAAAUCGUCUCCCCGAGACGUUACCAUUUUUCCAUUAUUCAUCUUAUGCCAAACUUUGGUUUUACAUGUAUUAGUUCAUCGGCACUUGGGGCCACAAUUAUCACAUCAUUCUUGGCACUAGGCCAUAUUCCAUAACUCUCAUUCCACAUCAUUUCCACUUUCAAUAUCAAACCUACAAAUUUAAGAUAAUGGAAACAUACAAGAGCAAUUCAAGUUAUAAGCAUAGGGAGGAAUUCUCAUGAUUCGGCAUAGUAAUCACAAUUGAACAUGACUUGAAAUCUAGGCAACUUAACAUAUAGUUCACCUUCUUCAUAUCUCCCCAAUUACCAAAAAUAGCACAUUGGACAUAUUGAGACACUUUUCACAUAUAUUAUUGCAACACUAAUUCCUUUGAAGCAACAAAUACUACAUCAAUCAUAUUUCGUACUUACAAUUUUACAUGGACACCAUGGGAGCUCAAUUUCUAAACAGAGGGGGCUUUAGCCAUACAUACCUUGUUUAAGCUUUUCUUAAGUUACUACGACAUUAGCAAUCCUAAUCUGCUUUGAUACAUAACAAAAUUAAGCACAAAUUAGGAAGGUAUUCAUGGUUUCAGCUCAUUUGGGCUUUUUAUCAAAUACUAGUUGAGCAUUUUGAUUUCAAAACUCUUUUACAAGGUUCCUUCAUUCCCCAACCUAAUCUUUACUUAUUUAUGUUCAACAAUCUUCCCACAAAACUAGUUUGUACAUGCAUGUAUACAUAAUACUAUUAUACCCAAAAAUCAUGCCUCAAUAACCCAUCUUAUACCCCAAACUAGAAAAUCUAAUAUAUAGAACCUUACCUCUUAGAUGAAGAACAUGUGAUUGGGUUCUUUGAUUCUUGAAGACUUGAGCAAGAGAUGGGUGAUUAUGAAGCUAGGACCCUCCUUUCUCUCUCAAUAUGCUCUCAUUUCUCUCUAAAAUCAGUAGGAAAUGACCCCAAAAUGAACCCCAAAGCCUAUAUAUUAAAAUGGGGCUGGGUUAUAAAAAUCGAAAAAAAUAACCCUCCGAAACCGAGUUUGUGAUCGCAAAAUGGACCACAGAAUGGGUAUCGUGGCCGCAAAUGUGUUACAAAACUCCAUGCCUAAAACUAGGCUACACUGGUCCAAUUUGCGACCAAAUUUGCGAUGCAGAUUGGUUAUGCGGACCGCAUAAUAGUUUUUGCGAUAGCAUAUCUGACAUAGGAUCACACUUUUCUAGCCUUUGGUAAUUUGAUCAUAACUUUGUGUAGGAAUAUGAAAAUGAUAAACAGUUUGAAGCUUUAGAAACUAGACUCAAAUACCUUUCAUUUGAUAGGUUAUUCGUCACAUAAAACUUUAAACAUAUUUAGAUAUGCUCGUUCAAAAUAUGGACUAAUGCAAGUACCUUUGGAAUCUUAGCCUGUUAUGAAUUUUUUUCCAUUUGGCUUACACUUAGGCCUCUUCUUAGACCACACCUUACUUAAUAUAUAUCACAUACAUUUGUUUACCAAAUCCAAUUGAUGUCUACCAUGUUAAUAGCACAUAAAAUAUUAUAAUUAGCCUACGUGGCAUCACAAAAUUCAAGAUUACUUAGCGAAAUUUUUAUGUGGCCUUACACAAGGAGAUGGGACGGCUAGGCGUGAUGCCCUGAUACAGGCUCUAGGUAGGCCGGCUUUGUUAGACUUAGUUGUGUGCCUUGGAAAUUUCCCAUUUUACUCUAGCCUCGAUCUAUUUCAUCAUUAAGUUGUACCUCGACGAGUUCUGAGGGAGGGAACUCGGUCACAGCUUCGCGUCCUUAGGGUCUCGAGAUGUUCUUCUAAAGUGACUCGAUAGAAAAAUUAGGCCCUCUAAUUGUUUCGUAUACAGAUAGUCGUCGUGUUUCUCAAAACGAAGCGAUGGGAAACGAUAAUGGUGUCUGACUUAUCGGACUUCCUGUGAUGACAUCAUACCAAUAAUGCAAUCUAUUGCGUGAAUUUUCACGAGAAGUGGGAUAUUUCAUGGGCCCAUCUUUUCAACGCCAUUCAAUGCACUGUCGAUUCCCAUUCUUCAAAGUGGCAGUACCACCGUCGACUCAGUUCUUCAAGAACGUAAUAAUUGCGCCCACUGGUCAAUAUUCCAAAGGAAUUGAUGGCUUUGUUAUUUCCCCCUAUAAAUAGGGGCAUUCUAGCGUUAUUUUUCUAUCAAAGUGUCUUUCUUCAUUCAUUUAUCCCCUCCUUCUCGCCAUCUUUUUAUUUUGUUAAUCACCAUGUUUGAAGUUCAUGGCCUUAAGGUUGUUUGUUGCAUUCCCACUUUUUGGGUGAUGGCCUUUUGCCUGACCUUCUAUUUGUCAAACGAGAUUAUACCGUCUUGUCGUCGUUGAAGUUGUUAUUGCGGUUGUUAUUAUUGUCCUUAUUGGGUCGGGGAAUCGACUUUCCCCUUUUUUAGAAAGUUAUUCAGACUAUACAUCACUGCUCACUCUCCUACCCUAGCCUAGUAUGGCACUUCAUCCCUUGGGUUUUUACUUUCCUGAGGGAUAAAAUAGCACAACCGGCCAUUGAGGCUGGGGCCUACUGAAUCUUCAACCUUUGGCUUUAGCAAGCUAUGUCUCUUUUCUCUGCCUUUUCUGCAUGCCCUCCCCCUCCCCCCNNNNNNNNNNNNNNNNNNNNNNNNNNNNNNNNNNNNNNNNNNNNNNNNNNNNNNNNNNNNNNNNNNNNNNNNNNNNNNNNNNNNNNNNNNNNNNNNNNNNNNNNNNNNNNNNNNNNNNNNNNNNNNNNNNNNNNNNNNNNNNNNNNNNNNNNNNNNNNNNNNNNNNNNNNNNNNNNNNNNNNNNNNNNNNNNNNNNNNNNNNNNNNNNNNNNNNNNNNNNNNNNNNNNNNNNNNNNNNNNNNNNNNNNNNNNNNNNNNNNNNNNNNNNNNNNNNNNNNNNNNNNNNNNNNNNNNNNNNNNNNNNNNNNNNNNNNNNNNNNNNNNNNNNNNNNNNNNNNNNNNNNNNNNNNNNNNNNNNNNNNNNNNNNNNNNNNNNNNNNNNNNNNNNNNNNNNNNNNNNNNNNNNNNNNNNNNNNNNNNNNNNNNNNNNNNNNNNNNNNNNNNNNNNNNNNNNNNNNNNNNNNNNNNNNNNNNNNNNNNNNNNNNNNNNNNNNNNNNNNNCCCCCUUUCCUCUUAUUCAUCUUCUCCCUCGGCGAGGUUAUUCUGCGGGAUCGAGCUAGGAACCUAGAAGAGAUGGUGAUUUGAAGGGGUUGCCUUUGAGGAUGCGAGCUCGAGGAGGCGGCGCUCGAAGAUGCUUCUACCGGAGAUGAACCUUCGAGGGUAGAUUAGGUUCUUAGGUUUUCACCAUAGGUAUAUAUCUCUUUGUUUCUUUGUUUCUGUAUAAGGACCUUUUGUGGGCUUUUGUAAUUAUUUGUGAGGACCCCUCGAGGGCCAUUGUAAGCCAAUGUUUAUGAAAUAGAAAGACAUUUUUCUUUACUUCUGCUUUUUAUAUUUGACAUAUUCUUGUAUAUUCUUGUGUAUUUGCGGGGAUUUUGAAUGUAUGCCUCUGUUAACGAUCAUUAAUACUCUUUUCGGUCUUUGGUCGACAGAAAUAGCUCUUAUCCGAGCCUACCAUCGUUCCUCAAACCAAGCUUGAAGUGAUAUGAUAGGCUCGGACUGUAGGAACCCUCGAUUCGCAUGAAGAUGGUGCAUCGAACUUUAAAUUUUUUAGAGUGGUCUCUGAGUGAAGGUCAGCUUCGGGCACCUGGAGAUUUACUUUGAACUUGAUGUAGAUAAUCUUAUAAGGCAUUGUAGAUAGGUUCUUGUGGAGAGGUUACUCAUGGUUGAGCGAUGUCCUGAGGUCGAAACCUCAUUAAUGGAGCUUGAAGUGCUUACUUUUCUCCUUGGGAGGAACCUUCAAGGUCGGAUACCCCCUCGAAACUGGAGACGAUGUCCCUGACCUUUUGAAGCCUAGCUUCCUUUUGACGGAGGUCCUUGGGAUCGGGUACCAUCUCGGGACCGGAGAUAAUAUUGUCAGCCUUUCGGAACCUAACUUGCGCAGGCGAACCAUUGUUGUUUCCCCACAUAUAUAUGGGGUUGUUUCCGGUUCUUGAGAGAUCCCAUUAUUUUAGAUAGCUACCCUUCCGUUUUGGCAUUGAGUCAUUCGUUACCUUAGUGCCAAUGCAUUCUUGUAGGUUCCUGCUUUAGUUUGUUAGUUCCACCAAAGCCAUGACUGCUACUUCAGGGCCUACCUGGCAGAAAGGGGAGAGUUCCACUCCCAUUACUCAAGAUCCACCAGAGUUUAUUUUGAAGACUAUAUCUUCAGUAAAAGAGGAGCACCUGGAGAUAGUGGUGAGAGAUAGCGGAUGGGCGAGGGGGUAGCGUAGCAAGCGCCUUCCUCGAAUGAGGGUAACAUAGACCUCGCCAAUGGAUUCCUAAACAUGUACUUGUACCCUUUUGCACUAGGCCCCCUUGAUUGAGUCGUGCUCGAGUUCUGUUUAAAUUAUCGAGUUACUUUGGCACAAAUACAUUUGUUGACUUGGAAAGUAGUGCUUAUGAUAAGGUUCUUUGCGGAGAAGGCAGCGCUUGAACUCACGCUCAUUCACCUCGUAAGGUUGUACCUACCCUUUCAUCAUCGAGGCCUGCUAAUCUUGCGGUGCCAUUAAUCCAUGACCUUUGUUGUUAAUGAUGAGGAAGAUAGAGAUCGAGAGUAGGUUAAACAAUUUGUUAGGGUCCGAACGAUUGAUGUUAUCCUCGUGGAACUUAUACCAUUUCCCGAGGAAUGGAAUUACACGCGUGAGUGGAGUGUCUCGUGCCUUUUCAAUUUGGUCAUGGUGAAAGCCGGUUUAGCAAGUGUGUUUCCUUUUUUUCUUUAGAAAUUUCAUGGGCACCGGGCGAAGUUCCUAAUCUACCCGGCCGAGUCCGGAAGCUGGCGUCCCAUUCGACUUGAAACGAGUGUAGGUGGCGAACUGUGUUUGGGGCAGAUUGGAAGAAAAAUACCAAGGUAUGUGCAUACGUACCUUGUCCUUCGUGCAUUUGGAAUGACAUUUUCCUCUUUUUAUGUACUAAUCUUACCAUCAUAGGUAUCAGAGGGUCCCCAAGAGCAAGGUUGUGCUCCAUCGGAGAGGAGGAGGACUUGCCAGCUUCCGAGCAAAAGGACGAUAGUGAUAAAUGCAAUAUGCACUUGCAGUGCAAUGGAGCUCUCAGCAGGGCGAAAUUGGGCCAAGUCUUUGAGGAGAAAACAUCGCCUGGGACUGCUACACCUGAAGUCUUUGGUUUUGGAGAGGUGGUUCCUCUGAGUGAUCAUACUUCGAUCGAGGUUGGUUCUUCCUAGGCCGAGGGGGCUGUAUCAACAGAGGUGUGAUCGGCCUUCGAGAAAUCCACCGACUUCACUUAGCGACGAGUUUUUACACAAGACUUCUAAAUCUCGCAUAUUCCCUUCCUUAUUGAGUUUUUCUUCUGCAAGCCUUUGAUAGGCUUGGGUCUGAGUUGUUCCAUUAUAGGGCUAGGCUCCGGAAAGCUCUGAAUAAAGGUCGUCCCUUAGGCUCCUUUUCGUGGAGAAGGAAGUUGAGUUGACAUACUAGCGAUAUGAGGCGUACUGGAGCUCGAAUUGCAAGAGCUAUUUGAUGGAGCACGUAUUUUCUUGUCCCAGGGGGAGGACGGGUAUGCAUUUCAUUUUUUAAACCUUUUGGUUAACAUUUUGCGUAUCCUAGUUGCAGAAAAAGACAUAGGCUUUAGAGCGCCUUAGGGGUGAAGCCGACAGAGUUAGGGAUGACCGUGGCGAGCUAAGAGCUCAGGCGCAGGCUCAAGCUUCAGAGGAGAAGGGUGCCUUGGCAAAAGUUCCUGUUAGAUGUGGAAAACUGGCGGAUCGGGUCAGAUAUGGUUCGGGUCGAAAAAGGAUAUGGGUACAUUAUCCAACCGGACCCAUAUUAAUAUAGAUAAAAAAUGAUUUAACCAGUGGAUAAUAUGGGUAACCAUAUUAUCCAUGGCUUCUUGUAUAUAUGAUCACUUUUUGGAGAAUUCUUAGUCCCCCUAACUUAAGAAACCCCUAAUUUGAAGCUUUACAAAUAUAAAAGUUAGACCUAUUAGUCAUCCAUUGGUUAUCCAUUUUCUAAAUGGAUGAUAUGGUUCUUAUCCAUAUUUGACCCAUUUUUAAAUAGUUCAUUAUUUAACCUAUUUUUUAAUGGACAAUAUGGGUGGUAACUAUUUUUUUUGAACUAUUUUGCCACCCCUAGUUUCUGCCUUCGAGGCCCACUUUUGCUUGGCUCGUGACAAUGAUUCAGUUCAAGCGAAUAUGAUCACGGAGCUAGAGUCCUAACUUUAGAAGGUCAGGGUUGAGAUCAUUGAUGCUCGGGCUGAAGCAGCACUGAGCUAUACUAAGGUUGAUCAGGAGAUGGCGAUUCAUGUAAAAGAUUCUAUCGAUGCCCAAGGUGAAUUGAAGAGGGUCCUCGAUCGUGAAGAAAGGAUCAAAGAAUAUGCUUGUUGCAAAUCCCGAAGAAGGGUUCUCUAGGAGAUAGGCGCCAUGGGUUUUCUUCUCUCGAAAGAGCUGGCGCAAGCGAGGGAAAACGAGCAUGAUGCUCAGUCAUUCCUACUCGAUGAUGAGGAGAGUAAAGAUGAAGCUGGUAGGUCGUAGCCCUCAGGGGUGGGGCUUAGACUCUGCCAUCUUGUUUGUGAUAUUUCCAGAGUGCGUCUGUAAAUGGAGGAUGCACUUUUUUAUGUAUGUAAAUAAAAGAGAACUUGAAGCUUUAUUUCUUAUAUAUCCCUUUCUGCUUUGCUUUUGACCAGGUAGACAGGCAUUCGGAGUUGGCGAGAAUCCUUCGAUAAUAUGGCUUUGGGGCUCAUCAGGCAUACCCAGGGGCUCUUACGCAUUCGGUCGAUGCGGCCUUUAGUGUAAGCUGGCAUUAGAGCUAUUAUGCUUUUCUCAACUAUUUUGGGUUUAGUUUUCGAUUCGGGCUUUAACUCGAGCCUGGUAGACCCUCAAGCUUUUGUGUCUGCAAAGCAUAAUGUCUCUUACGCUAUGCCCUUAGGCAUGUAUAGUUAACUAUUUUGGAUCCAGUCUUCGAAUCGGGUUAUAACUCGAGCUCAAUUUAACCCUCAAGCUUUCAAAUUUUUAAGCUGGAAAUAGUGGCUCUUAUGUUUUAGGUCGUUGCGACUGUUUAGUGUGUGUCACCAUGUGGCUCAUUAGACUGGUGACAAUGGCUCUUACGCUUUGCCCUUAGGCAUAUGUAGGCUUUGUUUUCCUCUUGUUAAGGAAUUUUUUAAAUAAUUUUUCCUGACCCAUCGUCAGUUCGAGAAGAACAUCGAUUUCAAGUCGUUCGCGACAAUAUUCGAGAACCUCGGAAGGUUUAGCUCGAAGCCUUAUGAUUUGUAGCUGACAUGGUUGAAGUUCAUUUUCCUGUCGAGGGUAGCAUGUUUAACCAGUCCUUCUAGAAGUAGAUUCAAAGUAAUGGCCUGUGAUUUUAUGGCGAUGGUCAGGCAUCCCCGAGUUGCAUUAAUUUGGCUGGUGCAACCGUAAUGACCGUAGUCAUUUAUGUUUAGCCAGAGCCAUUUUUGAUGUCGAGUGUAGUAGUUUAGGAGUCUAUAUUGAGGAUAUGCCCUUUCUGGAGUCCUACAAAUGCAACAUAUAGCCUAAACUUCGAGAUUGAGUUUAUGCAUGUAGUAAGGUCCAAAACUUUCAUGCCUUUUGAGGUCUUACAGUGUUGUUGAUAUUUGGUACAAGCGUGAUUCAUGCCUUGCUUGAGGUCUUGAAGUAUUUUCAUGCAUGUUGAGGUCUUACAGUUUCGUCAUGACUUUGAGGUCUUAUAGGAUUUUCAUGCUUAUUAAGGUCUUACAGUUUUUCAUUGCCACACUAAAUAGGUCUUGCUAGACUGAGUCUGCCCGCUCGGGGUCUUCUAGCCUCAGGUUUUUAAGUGAAUGGCAAUUGGCGCAGUCUCUGAGUCAUCAAGCUUGUUUAGGCUCGGAGGCCAUUACUCGCAAGCUCGAAAUUGCCUCAUCGAGGGCUUAUAUAUUUGAAUAUUCUGACCCUGGGGUCAUGAUCUUUCUGAGUUUGCGAUGCCAAUCUCCGAGUGUUUGGAAUAUUUUUCCUUUUCAGAGAUGCUUUGGCAAAAGAUAUUAUUUAAUUGUUUGGCAUAAGUACAUGUUGUCGUGAGCCCGAAUUAUGCAGACACGAUUUUUUUGACUGUUUGGAACGGCACAUAAUUUCCUAUUGGGACCUUGUUAGUUUUCCCCUAGUUCUUUCGAGUGGAUGACCUCUCAAUGGGGUGGUGUCGAUUGCAAAGGAAGCCUUGUGAUCUAGCUGGAUCAUCCAUAAGCGCAUAGACGUCGCAUCGUACGAAGAGAAGCUCGGUCGAAGGGGAAUAAGUACAUCGGAUUUCAUUAAGGCCUAGAGAUCUUUGGGUUAGGUCAGCAUUUUUAGCCACCCCGAUGGGUACCUGCAUUGGGGUUAGUGUAAAAUAAUGGAAGAGGGAGGUAGUCUUACCUUAUCGUGGGGUGCACAGCCGAUGUUCCAAGGCCUAAUGUGUCCCUAUUAUUUGGAGCGAUGACUUGAUACAUUCCUCUGUUGUGUUUAAUUGGGCUUUAUCCAAAGACGUAGUUUGAUUAUCAUUUGACACUUUCGAGAGUGGAGAUAUCAGUUUCAGCACUACGUUACAUAACGCAAACACUUCCCUUGACGCAUGAUGUUCCCCGUAAAUGGUCUUAAUUCCGUCCUUUGCUAGGGAUGCUAUCAUUUGGUGAAGGGGGAUGGUACCGCUCUUAUAUGGUGUGUCCGCAGCCGUUCGAAUAAGGCAUUUAUGCCUCACAUCUCCUUUAAUGAAAUGGGAUUUGGUGUUCCGGUCUGUGCUAGCUGUGUUGGCUGAGAAAAUGGUCUCUCUUUUCGUUGUGUCGAUCGCCGUGUUGAAUCCGCCAAGGAUUCGAGAGGCGGGCAUAAUUUGGUCCAGCAGUCCAAGUUACUCUAUCAAACUCGACCUGAUAAUGUUGGUCGAGCUGCCUGGAUUUUACUAGCGCACGAUAUAAUCAAAAUAGAUGAAUGAAGAAGGAGGUUACCAGAGUGUUGCUAUGAGGUUGGGGCGAGGUUUCAGAUCCUUCCCUGCUGAAUGUGAGGGAACCUUCGGGUAUGUAUCCCGAGUUCAUCUUUCUCCGGAGAUGGAUAUUUUUGUCCUCCUCUUCACAAGUUCUUGGGGAGUGUCGACGCCCUUCCAGUACCAUGAUAACAUUUCAUGGCCCAAUUGAUUUGUUCUUCUCGGCCGCAUUUCUUUCUCGGAACUGAACAUGAGCCCAAUUGCUCAAAAGUUCUCGGCGGUGACUUUUAUUGAGUAGCUUAGUUAUUUCCUUUCGGAGUUGGUGGAAAUGUUGGGUCGUAUGGCUUUGCAUAUUAUGAAGCUCACAUACCAAAGCUAUGACUCCUCUGGAAAGCAUCUGACUGGAUAGGUCUAGGCCAUUUGAUGCCCCUGGUUUUGCUGACUGUGAGCACGAUGUCCGCUGCAAUGAUGUUGAAGCGGUAUCCUGAUAGGAAAGGUGCCCCUAUUGCCUUGUGUCUCCAUCGAAUCUGGCUCUUCUGAUGAGCCCUCGAGGAUAUUGCCCUCGAUCCAUUCUCCGACUGUUGCGAGGUAGGUUGCGCCUUGGGCCAUUCCUCUUAUCUUUGAUGUACUGCUGGUAUCUUUCUUUUUUUGGUUUCGGUUCCUUUGCCAAGAGUCUGCUCGGAUAUACUGAGCCAGAGGGGGCUCCUAACUGGUUAUCCUUGACCCUAAUUUUUUUACUAGUACUGGUUGUGGACUAUCACACCUUUUUUUUACCAAACUUCACUUAACCCUCUUAAAUAAAUAAAAGGAUUUUGUGAAGCUUGAAAAGGGUUUUCAAUUUUGAAAGUGACAAAAGAUCGUGUUCAAAAGGAUAAACUCAGAGUCGCCACCUGACAUUAAUUUUUAUGUAUCGGGUCACCAUUUUUUUCUAAAAAAAAUAAAAAAAAAAUUCCUUUUAAAACACUUGAGACUCGAGAUACCCAAGUCUACACCAGAAAUUUUAGGUAAGGGGGUUCAUUUGACUCGAGCAGAAGGUGCUAGGCAUUCCCGGAGUCCCGUGAAGGUCACGGUUGCGUACUCGAUUUAGUUGGCUUUUAAAAUUUAGAUUGAGGAAAAAAUAAGCAUGGAAAAGCAAAAUAUACAUAUGAAGCUCGAGGUUGUCCCCACCUAGUAAAAGAAAAUGAAACGGAAAAGAAAAGAAAAUUCUAAGCUAACAUAUACUACGACUUCUCCACCAUGCUCGUCAGGGCCUCCAAAAUAUUUACAUAGUUCUUCGGGGCAUACCCCGGUAAUAAUAUAUACAAAUCCUUCGGGAUAUUUUUCGGAUAAAUUUAACUAAAGGAACGACCUCUUGCCUCAAAAUUAAUAGAAGUCCUAAAGCUUGUCUACCUAAAUAUGGUGGGCCUAAACAUGCUCUAGCGGGAAAACAAUAAAAAUAAAAUCAUUAGAACAUUAAACCGAAUUCUUUCAUUUUUAUACUCGUACCCCACAGCCCGAUUUUAAAUAAUUCCAGAAUAAGAACGCAUCAAAAAACAAUAUCAGAUGUAGACGAAAAACCUAAACAUCCAUAACAAAGAAGAUUACAGAAGGAAAUAAUAGGAAAAGUGAAUCAAAACUUUAUAUUGUUCAUUAGGGGUAAGACAAUUUUGACAUAUGAUCAUUUACAUUCCACCACUUGCUUAAGUAGUAGUACUUAAUAUUAAUGACAAUUUUAAAUCCUAGCCAACUCUCACAUACUAACCAAUAUUUGAAAGUCUCAUCCUCUACUUUAGAGGAUUCUCUAAAAUCAACGAGCUUAAUGUUCUGUCUAAAACCCCGAGUUUGUUUCUUUUAGAGCCAACCCUGCUACCCAAGAGCACGUUCGCAUAGAGAGCAAAAUUUCAAAUUAAAAUCAAAGAUUUUUCCUAAACUUUAACCGAGUUAAAUGACAUAGAAUAUACCUUCAACAAGAGGGUCACAUUAAUUAAACGAUAAACUAAUCCUAAUUCAACCAAAAAGUGAAAAUCUCAAUAAGGAACAAAAAGUAGCAUGAAGCCAAACAAAGAUUUCAUUCUUAGCUGGAAUAGAUCUGAAAAUUAAAGAGAAGAUAAAGUUAGAGUCGGACCUUAAAGAUUGACAACCUUUCCAGUUACAGCCGCGGUAGCAGCGGGGACCCGAACAUGGACCGGAAUCUAAACACGACCUCAAUCAAACUCCAUGAAUCUAUAUCAAAAUAGAGGCAAAUAUUUUGUAUUUUUCGCUUGAAAUAAUGUCCGUUUCUCUUCCUGUUCAUGCGUGACUUUGCCCCUCAAUGUGUGUGUGCAUCUCUGCGUAUUUUUAGGUGGUUGUUCCGGUGAGUUCAAUGAUGACGAGGAUGAAGCUUGGUAGCAGCGGUGGAGAUCGGUUGCUUCUUUUUUUUUGAGAAGUUAGGGGCCUGUUCUUCCCUGGUGUUGGAAGGCUAGUUUUCUAAACUGAAUGGGGAGGGAUCGGCGACUUUUUCGUGUUAGGGGUGUUCUCUAAUUGAAGAAGAAGGUCCCCUCUAAGGCUGUAAAGUGGGCCGGUUCUGGGCCUAUUUGUACCUGACGGACCGGGUCUUACGGUUUCGAUUCUGGUGUGCUGGGUUUGGCGGUUCCGGAUUUGGCGGUUCUCCAAGUUGGGACCGGCCCGUGACGGGUCUAAGCACCAUGUGGUCCUGGGUUUGGUGGGCCGGAUCUGGUGGGUCUGGCGGGUCUGACGGAUUUUUUUUUUUAAGUCAAUAUCUUGUAUAGUAGUCAUUAGCAUAGUGUAGAAUAUAUUUUAUAUGGUG
Molecule: long non-coding RNA, 12499 nt
Filed under: Nicotiana benthamiana
Lineage: Eukaryota; Viridiplantae; Streptophyta; Magnoliopsida; Solanales; Solanaceae
Description: long non-coding RNA (NBEN_LNC005047)
Source: RNAcentral